AUCCAGCUGACGAGUCCUAAAUAAGACGAAACGUGAGUCUUGGAU
Molecule: non-coding RNA, 45 nt
Filed under: Schistosoma margrebowiei
Lineage: Eukaryota; Metazoa; Platyhelminthes; Trematoda; Strigeidida; Schistosomatidae
Source: RNAcentral